GAUUCUGGCUCAGGAUGAACGCUGGCGGCGUGCCUAAUACAUGCAAGUCGUACGAGGGAAGUCCAGCUUGCUGGACGGAACGAGUGGCGAACGGGUGAGUAAUACGUAAGCAACCUGCCUGCAAGGACUGGGAUAACACCUGGAAACGGGCGCUAAUACCGGAUAGGUAACAAAGGGGCAUCCCUAUGUUAUUAAAGGUUAGAAACACAAGCAGAUGGGCUUACGGUGCAUUAGCUAGUUGGUGAGGUAACGGCCCACCAAGGCGAUGAUGCAUAGCCGGCCUGAGAGGGUGAACGGCCACAUUGGGACUGAGACACGGCCCAGACUCCUACGGGAGGCAGCAGUAGGGAAUUUUCGGCAAUGGACGAAAGUCUGACCGAGCAACGCCGCGUGAGUGAAGAAGGUUUUCGGAUUGUAAAGCUCUGUUGUAAGGGAAGAACAGCACGGAAAGAAUCCGUGAAUGACGGUACCUUACCAGAAAGCCACGGCUAACUACGUGCCAGCCGCUGC
Molecule: ribosomal RNA, 510 nt
Filed under: uncultured bacterium
Lineage: Bacteria
Description: bacterial SSU rRNA
Rfam family: Bacterial small subunit ribosomal RNA
Source: RNAcentral